This is a non-coding RNA of Choloepus hoffmanni (Hoffmann's two-fingered sloth), 104 nucleotides long. The record is from Rfam. Lineage: Eukaryota; Metazoa; Chordata; Mammalia; Pilosa; Megalonychidae.
AGGAGCCUGCGGAUGAGACGGCCUCAGGGAGGGAAGGUAGCGCGCAACUACCGGCCAUUUUCAGCUCGGGUGGAGCUAAGUUUGGAAUCUGUAACCUGGAGGGG